This is a long non-coding RNA of Drosophila sulfurigaster albostrigata, 1059 nucleotides long. RefSeq lists it as uncharacterized. Lineage: Eukaryota; Metazoa; Arthropoda; Insecta; Diptera; Drosophilidae. The record is from RefSeq and is a predicted model, not a curated record. The transcript has 3 exons.
GCUGGACUAAUACAUUAAUUUUCGGUUGUCACAAUAUUUAUAUAUCUUUGUAGACAAUAUGUAUCUGGUAUAAUAACUAAUAAAUAUUAAAUACAUACAGAUAUUGGAAAUCUACAUAGAUAAAUAUCAGUUGAGUUUCCAGAACUAUGAAUAUUCAUUUUAAUUGGAAUAAAUAAUAUGUAUUGGCUACAAUUACAAACACUUAAAAAUUCCUAAUAUUAAAAGAUCCGUGAAUGAUAAAACAAAUUAGUACCUGAAUAAAAUUGACUUGAGAAAGACAGCUCUGGCAUAAAAAUGCAAAAAUAAUUCCCAUGAUCGAGUCGAGGCACAAAUCACUCGGCAAUGGCUCUGACGAUGAGAAUGACUGUGAGUCGGACUCGAACUCGAAAGCGAAGCGAAGCGAAGCGAGUCGAAUCGAAUCGAAGCCGAAAAAUGCAAAUAGAGUGACAAUUUCCCAGCACGUUCAAACGGAGGCAAACUCAUUAAUUAAGUCAGCGGUGGUGUUGGCUUUCCAUCGGUAUUUGCCAUACAAAUGUUUUAAACUAAUGGUCAUACUCGCAGAAUGAAGAACUAUCCGUCGUACUAUGGCCCCGUCCAGAACAGGCGACAACUCCAGCAAUUAACAAAUUUAUAAUUUCCAAACGUUUGCGACGAUGAGACAGCCGCCAGACGGGCAAUUGGCGACAGCGGCGAAUUAAAAUUACAGACAACACAAUGAAUAAAUAGAGAUACAUAUAGACAGAUAGAUGGAUGGAUAGAUGGAUCGAUAUACCCCCGAUAGAGUCUUGAACCGCACAAAUAAAUAAAGGUUCAAUUUUACGUCAUAAAAAAGCGUUAGAAACGUGAUUGAAAUCUGUGAGAAAUGUACUCGUAUUGGAAGAACGACAACUAACCAACUCGUCGAAGCGGAGGCGCCUCGAGGCGACACAUAUCGCACCACGAACGUGUCUGCCACGUCUGCGCAUGCGCAGCCAACAGCCAACAACCACAGCAAUAACAACAGCAACAGCAACGGCAACUGCUGCAGGAACAGCACUCUGAAAGCAGCGUGUGUAUCUC